This 2244-nucleotide long non-coding RNA is filed under the name Equus asinus (donkey). RNAcentral describes it as "lncRNA (ENSEASG00005030605.1)". The record is from RNAcentral. Lineage: Eukaryota; Metazoa; Chordata; Mammalia; Perissodactyla; Equidae.
UGAUCACCAUCAUUGCUUAUACAUUUGUAUAAUGCUUUACUUUUAUUUCUUACAAAGCACCAUCAUAUACAUUAUUGGCAAUGGUCUUCCUCCUAUUAAAAGAAAUUAAAUUAAAGCACAUAAUAAUUUGUGCUUGUCCAGCAGAAUUGGGAGGCAGGAGAGUGGCAUUCCCCACAUCAGCUCUCUAUGAGUCCAGCAAGUCUAUAAAACAGGGGAUGAAAAUAUCUUCUCCCUUUGGCAUGGCAGAGCGCUUCGCUAGGGAAGUUCGUGAGAAAUACAGAUAGGUUUAGUGACGCAUCUUUGCUGCAUCCCGCUUCCCCUUUCUCAGACUCCCCUCAAACUCCCCGAGGCAGUCUCUGGCCAUGUCAUCAGAGGUUUGAGAAGGGGGAGAGAAUCCUCGCUGGGGCAUUGCUCUUAGGCCUGGACUUCGCAGAAUUCCUCAAACCUUCCUUAAAGAUCUGAUCCCUCAUUACUCGACUUUCAGCGCAAAUACUAGAAUCUGACAUUCCUAGAUAUUUUGAGGGUUUUGAGUUGGAUAUUUUUCUCACUCAAUUGGGUAAAAUGUGAAGGUCAUUUUUAAAUAGAGGAUCUUUGAGCUUUCAGCUUUUAUCUUUCAUUAAAGAUUUGGAGCAACAUUUUAAAUUUCCCUGUCUAAGAACUCUCUGCCUGUAGCUUCUAUGCCUCGUGACCGAGCUGGAGGUCUUUUCCACGCCUCUGUGGUUUUGGUAAUGUGCUCGCUCUCCAUCUACUGACUAUUUUGUUUCCCACGGCUGUUGGCGUCAGGCUUAGACCUCUUCAAAAACCACUGUGUUGUCUGCACAGAUCCUCCUGUUUUGGGUGAUAUCUGUGUUAGCGAACGCAGUCUUGCUUGUGCUGUUUUCCAAGAAGUGGACUUGGGUUAAUUCCAGACCGGAGUGCUCAUCAGCUGUUCCAUCUUGAACACCAGUCAUAACUUCAGUUUUCAUAUCUGUCAUAGGAAAAUGCUCCUUCCUCACAGCCUCAUUGUGAAGACUGAGAUAUACGUGAUUAAAUGAGAUAUCAUUUGUCUCGACCAGUGCCUGUUCCAUUAUAAUUGUUCUAUUUUAAUUCAAGCCUUUGACCCAGGCACACCUGGAGGCAGUCAUGAGAGUAAAAGGCUACCAAACGUUUGCUAUGUGGCUGUUACCAUCCUCAGUGCCUUAUCAACAAGCUAACAAGUUUCCAGGUGAUGACGAUGCUCCCUGACCAGGGACCACACUGAAGAACCACUAUUUUAGGCCCAAAUUCUCUUGCCCUGGCAGCCUCAUGAAGUAGAGGAUUAUCCCUGAGCCAACAUCCAUGGCCAAUCUCCGUCUUCUUUUGCUGAGGAAGAUUGGCCCUGAGCUAACAUCUGUGCCCAUCUUCCUCUAUUUGUAUGUGGGACGCAUCACAGCAUGGUUUGAUAAUGGAGCUUAAGUCCGCACCAUGGAUCCGAACUGGCCAACCCUGGGCAGCAGAAACGGAGCACGUGUACUAACCACUUGGCCACCAGGUUGACCCCCUCAAUCAAAGGAAAGAAAGGAAGAAGAGACUGGCCUCUGGAAGAAAGGAAGACCAAUGAAACGUGCAAAACUAGAGAUAAAUGCCAAGAUCACGUCUCCUCCAAAGAGCAAACACCGAGAUGAUGGAGAAAUUAGACUGCUUAAGGAGUUCCUGUCCCACCCGUCAGCAGCAACCUUAUGAAACAGGCAGUGCAAGUAAUAUUGCUAUGGAUGAUGAAACCAAGGAUGAACAAGACAGAGCAAGAAGAUAACCUUCUGCAAGCCAAGAAGGGAGCUCUCCCCAGAGCCCAACCGUGUUAGAGCACUAAUCUCAGACUUCCAGCCUCCAGAAUUGGGGAAAAAUCAGGAGCUGACCUUGGACUCACGAGAUUAACCCUGAGCUAACAUCUGCUGCUAAUCCUCCUUUUUUUGCUGAUGAAUACUGGCCCUGAGCUAACAUCUGUGCCCAUCUUCAUCUACUUUAUAUGUGGGAUGCCUACCACAGCAUGGCUUGACAAGUGGUGCAUAGGUCUGCACCUGGGAUCCGAACCAGUGAACCCCGGGCCAACGAAGCGGAACACGUGAACUUAACCACUGCACCACUGGGCCAGCCCCGAUUUUAUGCUUCUUAAUGAACAAGUUAAUCGUUUAUCUAAAUGCCAAAAAUGCAGUUGAAAUGAUUUUCCAUCCUUUUAUGCAUGUCUUCCCAACUCCUCCCAAGAUAUUAUGUAGAUAAAACCCCAAG